GAUGAAGAACGUAGCGAAAUGCGAUACUUGGUGUGAAUUGCAGAAUCCCGUGAACCAUCGAGUCUUUGAACGCAAGUUGCGCCUCAAGGCAUUAGGUUGAGGGCACGUCUGCCUGGGCGUCACAUAUCGUUGCCUGAUGCCAGUUUCCUCGUGAUGGGUGACUGUGCAGGGCGAAUGAUGGCUUCCCGUGAGCAUUGUUGCCUCAUGGUUGGUUGAAAAUUGAGUCCUUGGUAGGGAGCGCCGUGAUAGAUGGUGGUUGAGUGACGAACGAGACCCAAUCAUGUGAGACCCCUACCGAAUUUGGCCUUCAUGACCCACAUGCGUCUUUGGAACGCUCAUGACGAGACCUCAGGUCAGGCGGGGCUACCCGCUGAGUUUAAGCAUAUCAAUAAGCGGAGGA
Molecule: unclassified non-coding RNA, 400 nt
Filed under: soil metagenome
Description: partial contains 5.8S ribosomal RNA, internal transcribed spacer 2, and large subunit ribosomal RNA
Rfam family: 5.8S ribosomal RNA (bases 1-122)
Source: RNAcentral